UCCUAAAGUCGCCUUCGCACGAAUUUUGAGAGGGGAAGAGCGGAGAUGGCCGUCCGUGCCCAGUUGCGGUGCGGUUGGCAUAAAUAAGCACGAGAUCUGUCGCAAAUGUCACGAGGUGCGGUGGCCGAGCGGGUCGGCGUUGUGUUGUGGAUUGUGGUCGCGGCUCUGUGCAGAACUUUACCGGGGUAGCUGCCUUCUCGCUUGUGGGAGGAUUCGGUGCUCGUCUU
RNAcentral lists this non-coding RNA (227 nucleotides) under Austrotaxus spicata. The record is from RNAcentral. Lineage: Eukaryota; Viridiplantae; Streptophyta; Pinopsida; Cupressales; Taxaceae.